UAGGGAAUAUUGCACAAUGGGGGAAACCCUGAUGCAGCGACGCCGCGUGAGUGAUGAAGGCCUUCGGGUCGUAAAGCUCUGUCGUAUGGGACUAACAAAAUGAAGGUACCAUGCAAGAAAGGAUCGGCUAACUUCGUGCCAGCAGCCGCGGUAAGACGAGGGAUCCUAGCGUUGUUCGGAAUCAUUGGGCGUAAAGCGGGUGUAGGCGGACUUUUAAGUCAGGUGUGAAAUCCUGGGGCUCAACCCCAGAACUGCCUUUGAUACUGGCUGUCUCGAGGUCGAGAGAGGUUGGUGGAAUUCCUAGUGUAGAGGUGAAAUUCGUAGAUAUUAGGAAGAACACCAGUGGCGAAGGCGGCCAACUGGCUCGAUACUGACGCUGAGGUGCGAAAGCGUGGGGAGCAAACAGGAUUAGAUACCCCAGUAGUCCCUGAGCGGGCUGGCAAGGCGCAU
Molecule: ribosomal RNA, 450 nt
Filed under: uncultured bacterium
Lineage: Bacteria
Description: bacterial SSU rRNA
Rfam family: Bacterial small subunit ribosomal RNA
Source: RNAcentral